RNAcentral lists this long non-coding RNA (453 nucleotides) under Panax ginseng (ginseng). RNAcentral's name for it is "long non-coding RNA (PGIN_LNC018998)". The record is from RNAcentral. Lineage: Eukaryota; Viridiplantae; Streptophyta; Magnoliopsida; Apiales; Araliaceae.
CACCUUAUCACAUUCAUUCCUAUACCUCUGCAGUACUUUUCCAUUCUUCACAAAGUGUGUGAUAGCCUUCUUGAAGAUUUUGUUAUCUCUGAAAAAGCAUUCCUUUUACAAACUAUGGGUUGCUCAUUUGAGUCUUUGGAUCAGACAUAGGUCAACUUAGGGUUUCAUCAUCUUCACUUCUCAUAAGAGGAGGCAUGUCAUCAGUCAUUAGAUCAACAUCAUCAUCAAAUGUAGUAGAGGAUACAGUCAGUUUCCCUUUAUCAUAUGUUUUUGAACCCUUUCUUAUUUGUUAUAACACCUAACCCUACUGCUUCUUUUCCAAAUAACUCAACCUCAGGAUCAACAUAAUUGUCAAACUCAACAUCAUCUUCUUCAUAUCCACUAUCAUCAACCGGUUCAAAAUGAGAAUCAUCAGAAUUAGUAUCACUAAAUUCCUCGGCAACUUGAUGCAUA